CCUAGUUAAUUCUACUAGUAGUUAUAUACUUAUCUUAAAGAUUAAGCUAUAUAUAUCUAAGUAUAAGUAAUUAUAUAGCGAAACUACGAAUAGCUUAUUAUAUAAGUUAUCGUUUAUUUAAUAAUACCUUACUAUUUAGAUAACCGUAGUAAUUCUAAAGCUAAUAUAUAUUAAAAAUCCCGAUUUCGGAAGGGAUAUAUUUAUUAGAUUAAAAACUAAUACCUUUUAAAGCUUACUAGUAAUUUAUAAUAACUUCUCGAAUUAUAUAACCUUACGCUAGUAAUAGUUUAUUUAAAUUUCUUCCUUAUUAACUUUCGAUGCUAAAGUAGUAUUCUAGCAUAGUUAUAACAAGUAACGGAGGGUUAAGGCUUAACCCUAGAGAAGAAGCCUAAGAAACAGCUACUAUAUCUAAAGAAGGUAGCAGGCGCGUAAAUUACUUAAUCCCGACUCGGGAAGGUAGUAAUAAUAAAUAUUAAUAUAAAGCUUUUUUAAGUCUUAUAAUUAAAAUAAGUAUAAUUUAAAUCCCUUAACAAGGAAUAAUUAGAAGGUAAGUCUAGUACUAGCAGCUACGGUAAUUCUAGCUCUAAUAGCGUAUAUUAAAGUUAUUAUAGUUAAAAAGCUUGUAGUAGAACCUUAGGCCUAGCUAGCCGGUCCGCCUUACCGCGUACACUAGUCCGGCUAGGCCUUUCCCUCUAUAAAACCGCAUACCCUUUACUAGGUAUGCCGGGGAAAUAAGACUUUUAUUCUAUUAUAAAAAAUUAAAGUACUCUAGGCAAGCCUAUGCUUAAAUAUAUUAGCAUAGAAUAAUAGAAUAAGACGUAUAGUUUUAUUUUAUUAGUUUCUAAGAUACCGUAAUAAUUAAUAAGGAUAGUUAGGGGUAUUAGUAUUUAAUUAUUAAAAGUAAAAUUCUUAGAUUUAUUAAAAACUAACUACUACGAAAGUAUUUACUAAGGAAUUUUUAUUUAUUAGGAACGAAAGUUAAGGGAUCGAAGACGAUUAGAUACUAUCGUAGUCUUAACUAUAAACUAUACCGACUAAGGAUUAGACGAUAUUAUUUUUUAAUUUAUUUAGUACUUUACGAGAAAUUAAAGUACUUAGGCUUUAAGGGGAGUAUAGUUAUAAGGCUAAAACUUAAAGAAAUUAACGGAAAAGUACUACUAAGGGUAAAGCCUACGGCUUAAUUUAACUUAAUAUAGGGAAACUUACUAAGUUAGACAUAAUAAGGAUUAAUAGAUUAAAGACUCUUUCUUAAUUUUAUAAGUAGUAAUAUAUAGCCGUUCUUAGUUAGUAAAGUAAUUAUCUACUUAAUUACGAUAACGAACAAGACCUUAACCUACUAAAUAGCUAUAUUGCUUUAAUAGUACGCUAGCUUCUUAGAAGGAUUAUCGCUUAAGCCGAUAGAAGUUUAAGGUAAUAACAGGUCUAUAAUACCCUUAGAUGUUCUGGGCCGCACGCGCGUUACACUGACAAAGCUAGCAAGUACUCCCUUAAAACCGNNNNNNNNNNNNNNNNNNNNNNNNNGGUAGUACUGUGUUUUCUUAUCUACGCUAGCAUACUAUAUAGAGGCAGUAGUAAGGCUUAUAAACGCCUAGCGGUAGGUAUAAGAUACUUAGCCUCGUCAUAAUAACCCUUACGGUUAAUAAAGGACGCAAAAGCAAAGUCGUAAUAAUAGCUACUAAGUACCUUAAGACCAGGAGAAAAGUACCUUUAACGUAGGCAGCAACGCGGCAACGGCGAGGGCAACCUUAAUAGGCUACUAAAGGUACGCGUUACGGAUACCGUAGUCU
RNAcentral lists this ribosomal RNA (1787 nucleotides) under Colletotrichum truncatum. Its description in RNAcentral is "SSU rRNA". It matches the Rfam family "Eukaryotic small subunit ribosomal RNA", at positions 3 to 1561 of the family's 1831-position model. Lineage: Eukaryota; Fungi; Ascomycota; Sordariomycetes; Glomerellales; Glomerellaceae. The record is from RNAcentral.